CCGCCGUGUGAUGAUCACAAAGUGAACUAUUCUUUCGCCUUUUACUAAAGAAUACCGUGUUUUCAGACACUUUAUUGUAUGGCUCAGUGUACAGAGGAUUUAUCACAGCAAGAUUGCAGA
Molecule: non-coding RNA, 120 nt
Organism: Medicago truncatula (barrel medic)
Lineage: Eukaryota; Viridiplantae; Streptophyta; Magnoliopsida; Fabales; Fabaceae
Source: Rfam